CCUCUCGCACUCGUGCUCUGUCUCUCUCUCUCCUAGAGACCCCACCGAAAAGGAGAAUUGCAGGCUGAUAUCUUUGAUGAACUUGGAUGCAGAUAUUCUCAACAAGAUACUAGCAAAUUGAAUUCAACAGUACAGUAAAAGAAUUAUUCACCAUGAUCAAGUGGGAUUUAUUCCUGGGCUGUAGGG
This is a long non-coding RNA of Leopardus geoffroyi (Geoffroy's cat), 186 nucleotides long. RefSeq lists it as uncharacterized. Lineage: Eukaryota; Metazoa; Chordata; Mammalia; Carnivora; Felidae. The transcript is spliced from 3 exons. The record is from RefSeq and is a predicted model, not a curated record.